AUUUUACAGAUAAGGAAAAUGAAGUUGAAAGAGGUGAAGAGGCCCAGAGUUACACUCUAUGAAGCAUCUGAGCCUGUAUCUGAACUCCCGCCUGCUUGGCUCCAACAGCACUCAAACCAGCAUACUACCUAGCAGUCCUCACAGGAACCCAGGUCACUGCGAUGUGGUCUUUGUUCUAGCCCUGCUCUGCCUGCUGCCCAGCCCCUAAGUUGUCUAUUCCUUCCUCAUCUUGCUUCAUAUACUUCCUGUCCCUGAAUGAAGCUCAUGCCCAAAAGUGUGCAUAGUAUCUACAUUGGUACAGGUGGAGUUAAUUCCUUAUGCAGUAUUCCAGCUUCCUUCUGCUCCUCUACUUUCACUUGGAGUGAUCCUAUUGGCUCUUCUCCCACUGGAAAAUUUCUCCUCUUGUGGGUCUUCUCAGUAUGUCAGAGGCUAGAACUUCAGAGUUUCCCUAUCAUGGUGCCAUUACAGCUUGAAAGAUGUAUCUCACUAGCAUGUUUUCACUUUGAAACCUCUCCCACCCAUCUUAGGUUUUGCACAAAAGAAUUGCUCAGGAAUCAGGAACAGAAAUAUCCUGAUCUCAUUUUUGUGAAUGAGUCUCUGUCAUAGACAAGGGUGAAAUCGAAGUUUGAUGUCCCCUUCCUCCCACCACCCAGGUGGCAUGUUUCCUACCCAUACCUCUAAUCAUAAUGAGUCUAAAAGCUUACCCAUACACUCCAAUUUUCCCCUAAUUGUCCCUUUAGAUCUAUAAAUCCCUCUAUAUUCAGCUAGGAAGGGUUAUUCAAAUCAAUUUAGUUCAAAAAGCAUUUAAGUAUCUACCAUGCGCUGGGCACUGUGCUUAGGCUAUUUCUUAAAACAUUACCAUCCUCAGGGCAGAGGGGAACCAUGUAUCCUUCAGCAUUGCUUUUCAGGGAAGGAGAAAAAAAUAGUAAUUUCCAAUAGUGAACAUUUAGAUGAAAUUAGGUUCCUGACAUCAUAAAGCUUGAAGAUUCAAUUCAUUCUUUUAUUUUUCUUUCUUUUUUUGGGCUUCCCUAACCCUACCUUACACGUCCUUACGCUCCACCACUUCAACAGAAAAACAAAAACACCCCUCCCCCCUUUUUAAACAAAUAUGCUUGGUCAAGCAAAACAAAUGUCUACAGUAGCCAUGUUUGAGAAAUCUAUGUUAAGACAGUUCAAAUACCAUCUUCCGCAGAAAGCCUACACAUAUAUGCGUGUGUGUGUGUGUGUGUGUGUGUGUGUGUGUGUAUAUACACACACACACACACACACACACACACACACACACACACACACAUAUAUAUGUAUGUAUGUAUGUUGUCUACUAGAAUGUAAGCUCCUUGAGGGGAGGGACUCUUUUCUCUUUUUCUUUGUUUCUCCAGGACUUAGCACAGUGCUAAGCAUACAGUGAGUGCUUACCUAAUGCUCCCUUUUUUCACCUCAAAACCACAGUAUCCCUGUCUCCAUCUUUCUCCCAGUUUCUGAUUAUGAGACGGCCUUUCUCUUUGCCAGGGCCGACUGUUCUGCAUGUAUACUUGGUCCCAUCUUUCCUGGAUUUCUCCAGGAGAUGGCCCCUUUAAUCACCUCCUUGCUUUCUCCAAUCUUCAAC
This 1606-nucleotide long non-coding RNA is filed under the name Phascolarctos cinereus (koala). RNAcentral's name for it is "lncRNA (ENSPCIG00000037344.1)". The record is from RNAcentral. Lineage: Eukaryota; Metazoa; Chordata; Mammalia; Diprotodontia; Phascolarctidae.